CUGGUCCCUAAUUAUAAAUUGAGCGCGAGCGAGUAAUUAAAAACGCCUCUUUUCUUUGUUCUUCUGAAAUUAAAAACCCUAUUUUCAUUUUCUUCAGAAAUUAAACCGACGGUUUCUCUAGAUCUGCUGAGAAUCAUUAUCCGGCGAUGGAGACGGCGACGGCGGCUCUCCGAGUAAAAUUCCUAAACUAAACAAUCGUCUCUCAGAGGCCGGACAAUCAUUAUCCGGCAAAAUCGAAAACCAAAUGAUAAACUCUGCUUCUUGUGGCUAAGCACUUGUUACUUCUUGCGGGCUCAACACACCUAGUUCCUUGAAGAAUCUCCCUUGUAUUUCAGGUUAUGGCACCUAAUAAGAGACGGAAGCAACUUGUUGAUAAUGGACUUGAUGAAGCCUACUUAAUCGGGAUGCAAAAGUUUUUGGAUUAUGCUUUUGGAAGAACAGAAGAACUAUAUGAAAUACGAUGUCCAUGUGUCAAAUGUUGUUACACAACUUUAGGAACACGUGAAACAAUUGAGUCACAUUUGAAGGUAUAUGGAAUAAUUCAAAAUUAUACUUUAGGGGUGUCUGGAAAUGAUUCACCAGGUGCUAUAGGGGAGGGACGAGGCCAAGAGCAAGAGGUUAGACCUAAGUGCUCUUUAGGGGUAUCUGCAAAUGAUGUGGGAUCCUUCUGUCAAAAUUCUCUUUGCUCUGGUCAAAGUAUGCCAACACCCUCUGAUAGUACAAGUUCAGAUGCUACCAUAUCUGAUUAUUCUGGUGAAAGUACGCCAUCUCAUUCUGAUGGUACAAGUUCAGAUCCUACCACAUCUGUUGGUCAAGGAAUGCGAAGAAGAAAUAAAAACACCUUGGUUCAUGACAAAGAUCAAAUGCAAAUUGAUAUUCCAUUGCCUCCAUCUACCGAUCAAACUAUGCAAGACACCCAAAUUGUUGAAACAAGUUCAUGUACUACUAGAAAGGUAAGAAGAGGUCGAGGGCGGAACAAGUGCCAAGAAGUUGAAUCACUUCAAGCUGGACAGAAGUUGAAAGUAACAUUUUAUAAUAAUCGAACUGUUGGAAAGAAUAGCAAUCUAUUUUCCAGGCACUUGGGAAAAUUAGUCCGUGACCAUAGCAUGUGUCCGUUAGGAGUAUCAUCGUGGGAUGACAUUAAGGAAGAAAAGUUAAAUCACAUGUGGGCAGCUGUUGAGGAUAAAUUUGAGGGUGAUGAUAUGGAUACUCAUCGCGGUCACAUUUUGGGAUGGAUGAAAGAAUUAUGGAACAAAUGGAGAGGACAAUUACAUGCAAAGUAUGUGAAAGGUAAGCCAGUCCAAGAGGCUCUUAAGAAUACACCAAAGGGCGUAGACAAGAAACAAUGGGAGUGGUUGGUAAAAGAACAUUUUUCUUCAGAAACUUUCCAGGCUAGAAGCAACAGGAACUCGGCAAACAGAGCUAAGUUGAAGAUGCCUCAUCAUACCGGUAGCAAGCCUAUUAGAGAGAUUAUUUAUCAAAAGGGCGGGAAAAAUGGCAACCCACCAGAUUUAGCAACUAUUUUCUUUGAGACUCGCAAGAAGGACAACAUGCUUGUCGAAUCUGAGGCAGUUGAAAAACAUGCUCAACUCCAAGAAUUGGUGCAGUCUGAACCAUCUCUUCCUAACAUAGAGAUAGUGGAAAAAUGCUUUGGACCUCAAAUUCGUAGCCAUGUAUUUGGCUUUGGGGGUGGAGUAAAAGCGAAAGACUUGAAAGGUUCCGCUUCCUCAAAGGCUGAAUUACUAUCUGAGUUACGCUCAAUUAAAGAGGAAAACCAAUCUUUGAAAGGUGGUGCUUCCUCAAAGGUUGAAUUACUUUCUGAGCUUCAUUCAACUAAAGAGGACAACCGAUCUUUGAUGGAUCGGUUGUCUGCUGUAGAAAAUGAGGUGAAAGAACUGAAGGAGCUAAAAAAAUUGUUUUUGGCUCGACACCCUAAUAUCCAACUUCCAACAUCAUCUAUUUCAGGAGAAUGACAAUUUGAUGAACAUACCAAGUUUGUUACAAAUUAGUAAUUUCCUUCUGGAAAUUAUUGUGGCUUGAUAUGGGAAAGGCGACAUACUAAAUGCAGAUUGCCUCUGACGGGAUUUGCAUGUUUGUGGCAACCUACCUGUUAGGUUUCUUCUUGCAGCAGAAACAGAAAGUAAGGCAAAGAUGAAGGAACAAAGAAGAUGAAGAUGAAGAAGAGAGAUGGAGAGCACAGAAGAUAUUUUUGAUAUUAGGGCUAAAAUGCCCUAAUCGCUUCACUGUACAAUUAUAGCUAUAUAUAUAUAGCUGGUUAGUGAGUUAACUGACUAACUAAUUGGUAGUUAGUUAGCUCUAACUACAAAUGGUAGGAAAUGACCAGACUGCCCCUGUUUCUAACUAAUCCUUCUAACUACUUUAACAAUCUUCUUUACAUCUUAACACUCCCCUUCAAGCUAGGAGGUGUAAAAAUGUUCAAAACUCCUAUCUUGGAUAGAAGAUACUCAUGUUGAACUCUAGGUAGCCUUUUUGUCAAUAUAUCAGCUGGUUGUUCUUGAGUUGGUAGGUAGUCGACUUUGAUCAUGCCUUGUUGCAAUCUUUCUCUAAUGAAGUGACAAUCUAUCUCUA
RNA transcript from Solanum dulcamara, 2589 nucleotides. RefSeq lists it as uncharacterized. Lineage: Eukaryota; Viridiplantae; Streptophyta; Magnoliopsida; Solanales; Solanaceae. The transcript has 9 exons. The record is from RefSeq and is a predicted model, not a curated record.